RNAcentral lists this unclassified non-coding RNA (309 nucleotides) under plant metagenome. RNAcentral's name for it is "partial contains 5.8S ribosomal RNA, internal transcribed spacer 2, and large subunit ribosomal RNA". The stretch from base 1 to 105 matches the Rfam family "5.8S ribosomal RNA", at positions 50 to 154 of the family's 154-position model. The record is from RNAcentral.
GAAAUGCGAUAAGUAAUGUGAAUUGCAGAAUUCAGUGAAUCAUCGAGUCUUUGAACGCACAUUGCGCCCCCUGGUAUUCCGGGGGGCAUGCCUGUCCGAGCGUCAUUGCUGCCCUCAAGCACGGCUUGUGUGUUGGGCCCCGUCCCCUCCCCCGGGGACGGGCCCGAAAGGCAGCGGCGGCACCGCGUCCGAUCCUCGAGCGUAUGGGGACUUUUGUCACACGUUUGCGGUGCGGACCGGCGCCUGCUUGACUUUUCUGAUUAUCCAGGUUGACCUCGGAUCAGGUAGGGAUACCCGCUGAACUUAAGC